This 253-nucleotide ribosomal RNA is filed under the name uncultured bacterium. RNAcentral describes it as "partial 16S ribosomal RNA". It matches the Rfam family "Bacterial small subunit ribosomal RNA", at positions 524 to 776 of the family's 1533-position model. The record is from RNAcentral.
UACGGGGGGGGUAAGCGUUGUUCGGAAUUACUGGGCGUAAAGGGCUCGUAGGCGGCCAACUAAGUCAGACGUGAAAUCCCUCGGCUUAACCGGGGAACUGCGUCUGAUACUGGAUGGCUAGAGUGUGGGAGAGGGAUGCGGAAUUCCAGGUGUAGCGGUGAAAUGCGUAGAUAUCUGGAGGAACACCGGUGGCGAAGGCGGCAUCCUGGACCACGACUGACACUGAAAAGCGAAAGCCAGGGGAGCAAACGGG